GAUGAACGCUGGCGGCGUGCCUAAUACAUGCAAGUCGAGCGAACAGACGAGGAGCUUGCUCCUCUGACGUUAGCGGCGGACGGGUGAGUAACACGUGGAUAACCUACCUAUAAGACUGGGAUAACUUCGGGAAACCGGAGCUAAUACCGGAUAAUAUAUUGAACCGCAUGGUUCAAUAGUGAAAGACGGUUUUGCUGUCACUUAUAGAUGGAUCCGCGCCGCAUUAGCUAGUUGGUAAGGUAACGGCUUACCAAGGCAACGAUGCGUAGCCGACCUGAGAGGGCGAUCGGCCACACUGGAACUGAGACACGGUCCAGACUCCUACGGGAGGCAGCAGUAGGGAAUCUUCCGCAAUGGGCGAAAGCCUGACGGAGCAACACCGCGUGAGUGAUGAAGGUCUUCGGAUCGUAAAACUCUGUUAUUAGGGAAGAACAAAUGUGUAAGUAACUAUGCACGUCUUGACGGUACCUAAUCAGAAAGCCACGGCUAACUACGUG
RNAcentral lists this ribosomal RNA (497 nucleotides) under uncultured bacterium. Its description in RNAcentral is "partial 16S ribosomal RNA". It matches the Rfam family "Bacterial small subunit ribosomal RNA", at positions 28 to 507 of the family's 1533-position model. The record is from RNAcentral.